GAUAACUCUCUCCAGUCCAUCUGUUACAAGCGGGGCUCCUUGCGGCUGCUCGAUCAGAGGAAACUCCCUUUGGAAACUGUCUACUUGGAUAUCAAGGACGCAACAGAUGGAUGGCACGCAAUAAGGGAUAUGGUAGUACGCGGGGCACCUGCCAUUGCUAUUGCAGCAGCCCUUGCUUUGGCAGCAGAAGUGUACAACUCAGACCCUUGUAAUGGGACGCCCAACGAUGCAGCUUUGUUCAUUGCAGAGAAAUUGGACUACUUAGUCUCCAGCCGGCCAACUGCAGUUAAUCUUGGCGAUGCUGCUAUAAAACUUAAAGAAAUUGUAUCUGGUGCCGCUGCAAUUUCUUCUGAAGCCAAGAGUGUCUUCCAAGCAUAUAUAGAGGCCGCCGAAGCAAUGCUGGAGGAUGAUGUUGCUUCAAACAAAGCCAUUGGGUCCUAUGGAGCAACUUAUAUCCGUGAUCAACAAAAAUCGUUGGAGAAGUUUUCCGUUCUAACACACUGCAAUACGGGCAGUCUAGCAACAGCUGGAUAUGGUACUGCCCUUGGUGUUAUUCGUGCACUUCACUCUGCUGGUGUGUUAGAAAGGGCAUACUGUACAGAAACGCGGCCCUUUAAUCAAGGAUCUCGACUCACAGCCUAUGAGUUGGUCCAUGAAAAGAUACCUUCUACUCUGAUAGCUGAUUCUGCUGCCGCGGCCUUAAUGAAAUUUGGAAGAGUGAAUGCUGUUGUAGUUGGGGCAGAUCGUGUAGCUGCAAAUGGUGAUACUGCAAAUAAGAUUGGAACCUAUAGUCUUGCAUUGUGUGCAAUGCAUCACA
RNAcentral lists this unclassified non-coding RNA (817 nucleotides) under Hevea brasiliensis (rubber tree). The record is from RNAcentral. Lineage: Eukaryota; Viridiplantae; Streptophyta; Magnoliopsida; Malpighiales; Euphorbiaceae.